RNAcentral lists this transfer RNA (65 nucleotides) under Ocnus glacialis. RNAcentral's name for it is "tRNA-Ala". It matches the Rfam family "tRNA". Rfam says of the family: Transfer RNA (tRNA) molecules are approximately 80 nucleotides in length. Their secondary structure includes four short double-helical elements and three loops (D, anti-codon, and T loops). The record is from RNAcentral. Lineage: Eukaryota; Metazoa; Echinodermata; Holothuroidea; Dendrochirotida; Cucumariidae.
GUUUAUGAAGUUUAAAAAAUAGUUGAUUUGCAAUCAGAAGAUCCAAUAUUACUUUGGUAUAGACA